RNAcentral lists this ribosomal RNA (991 nucleotides) under uncultured Lactobacillus sp. RNAcentral's name for it is "bacterial SSU rRNA". It matches the Rfam family "Bacterial small subunit ribosomal RNA", at positions 533 to 1533 of the family's 1533-position model. The record is from RNAcentral. Lineage: Bacteria; Bacillati; Bacillota; Bacilli; Lactobacillales; Lactobacillaceae.
UUUUUCGGUUUUCCGGAUUAUUGAGGCGUAAGCGAGCGCAGGCGGUUUUUUAAGUCUGAUGUGAAAGCCCUCGGCUUAACCGAGGAAGCGCAUCGGAAACUGGGAAACUUGAGUGCAGAAGAGGACAGUGGAACUCCAUGUGUAGCGGUGAAAUGCGUAGAUAUAUGGAAGAACACCAGUGGCGAAGGCGGCUGUCUGGUCUGUAACUGACGCUGAGGCUCGAAAGCAUGGGUAGCGAACAGGAUUAGAUACCCUGGUAGUCCAUGCCGUAAACGAUGAAUGCUAGGUGUUGGAGGGUUUCCGCCCUUCAGUGCCGCAGCUAACGCAUUAAGCAUUCCGCCUGGGGAGUACGACCGCAAGGUUGAAACUCAAAGGAAUUGACGGGGGCCCGCACAAGCGGUGGAGCAUGUGGUUUAAUUCGAAGCAACGCGAAGAACCUUACCAGGUCUUGACAUCUUUUGAUCACCUGAGAGAUCAGGUUUCCCCUUCGGGGGCAAAAUGACAGGUGGUGCAUGGUUGUCGUCAGCUCGUGUCGUGAGAUGUUGGGUUAAGUCCCGCAACGAGCGCAACCCUUAUGACUAGUUGCCAGCAUUUAGUUGGGCACUCUAGUAAGACUGCCGGUGACAAACCGGAGGAAGGUGGGGAUGACGUCAAAUCAUCAUGCCCCUUAUGACCUGGGCUACACACGUGCUACAAUGGAUGGUACAACGAGUUGCGAGACCGCGAGGUCAAGCUAAUCUCUUAAAGCCAUUCUCAGUUCGGACUGUAGGCUGCAACUCGCCUACACGAAGUCGGAAUCGCUAGUAAUCGCGGAUCAGCACGCCGCGGUUGAAUACGUUCCCGGGCCUUGUACACACCGCCCGUCACACCAUGGAGAGUUUGUAACACCCGAAGCCGGUGGCGUAACCCUUUUAGGGAGCGAGCCGUCUAAGGUGGACAAUGAUAGGUGACACAGCGGGGGGCAAGCAAAAGAGAAAAAAAAAAAAAAAGG